RNAcentral lists this ribosomal RNA (253 nucleotides) under uncultured prokaryote. Its description in RNAcentral is "partial 16S ribosomal RNA". It matches the Rfam family "Bacterial small subunit ribosomal RNA", at positions 524 to 776 of the family's 1533-position model. The record is from RNAcentral.
GACGUAGGAUGCGAGCGUUGUUCGGAUUUAUUGGGCGUAAAGCGUACGUAGGCGGCUUGUUAAGUCUGGUGUUAAAGCUAGGGGCUCAACCCCUGUGAUGCACUGGAAACUGGCAGGCUUGAGUGUGGUAGGGGAAGGUGGAAUUCCGAGUGUAGCGGUGAAAUGCGUAGAUAUUCGGAAGAACACCGGUGGCGAAAGCGACCUUCUGGGCCAUUACUGACGCUGAGGUACGAAAGCUUGGGGAGCGAACGGG